UAGCUAGUUGGUGAGGUAAAGGCUUACCAAGGCGACGAUCUGUAGCGGGUCUGAGAGGAUGAUCCGCCACACUGGAACUGAGACACGGUCCAGACUCCUACGGGAGGCAGCAGUGGGGAAUUUUGGACAAUGGGGGCAACCCUGAUCCAGCCAUGCCGCGUGAGUGAAGAAGGCCUUCGGGUUGUAAAGCUCUUUCGGCCGGGAAGAAAUCGCAUGGGCCAAUACCCUGUGUGGAUGACGGUGCCGGAGUAAGAAGCACCGGCUAACUACGUGCCAGCAGCCGCGGUAAUACGUAGGGUGCGAGCGUUAAUCGGAAUUACUGGGCGUAAAGCGUGCGCAGGCGGUUUUGUAAGACAGGCGUGAAAUCCCCGGGCUUAACCUGGGAACUGCGUUUGUGACUGCAAGGCUAGAGUACGGCAGAGGGGGGUGGAAUUCCACGUGUAGCAGUGAAAUGCGUAGAGAUGUGGAGGAACACCAAUGGCGAAGGCAGCCCCCUGGGUCGAUACUGACGCUCAUGCACGAAAGCGUGGGUAGCAAACAGGAUUAGAUACCCUGGUAGUCCACGCCCUAAACUAUGUCAACUAGGUGUUGGGUGGGUAAAACCAUUUAGUACCGUAGCUAACGCGUGAAGUUGACCGCCUGGGGAGUACGGCCGCAAGGUUAAAACUCAAAGGAAUUGACGGGGACCCGCACAAGCGGUGGAUGAUGUGGAUUAAUUCGAUGCAACGCGAAAAACCUUACCUACCCUUGACAUGCCAGGAACUUGCCAGAGAUGGCUUGGUGCCCGAAAGGGAGCCUGGACACAGGUGCUGCAUGGCUGUCGUCAGCUCGUGUCGUGAGAUGUUGGGUUAAGUCCCGCAACGAGCGCAACCCUUGUCGUUAAUUGCCAUCAUUUGGUUGGGCACUUUAAUGAGACUGCCGGUGACAAACCGGAGGAAGGUGGGGAUGACGUCAAGUCCUCAUGGCCCUUAUGGGUAGGGCUUCACACGUCAUACAAUGGUCGGUACAAAGGGUUGCCAAGCCGCGAGGCGGAGCCAAUCCCAGAAAGCCGAUCGUAGUCCGGAUUGCAGGCUGCAACUCGCCUGCAUGAAGUCGAAAUCGCUAGUAAUCGUGGAUCAGCAUGUCACGGUGAAUACGUUCCCGGGUCUUGUACACACCGCCCGUCACACCAUGGGAGCGGGUUCCGCCAGAAGUAGGUAGCCUAACCGCAAGGGGGGCGCUUACCACGGCGGGGUUCGUGACUGUGGUGAAGUCGUAACAAGGUAGCCGUAGGGGAACCUGCGGCUG
RNAcentral lists this ribosomal RNA (1287 nucleotides) under metagenome. Its description in RNAcentral is "bacterial SSU rRNA". It matches the Rfam family "Bacterial small subunit ribosomal RNA", at positions 242 to 1520 of the family's 1533-position model. The record is from RNAcentral.